UACGUAGGUGACCAGCGUUGUCCGGAUUUACUGGGCGUAAAGAGCGCGCAGGCGGUCGUUCAAGUCGAGUGUGAAAGCCCCCGGCUCAACUGGGGAGGGUCACUCGAUACUGAUCGACUUGAAGGCAGGAGAGGGAAGCGGAAUUCCCGGUGUAGUGGUGAAAUGCGCAGAUAUCGGGAGGAACACCAAUGGCGAAGGCAGCUCGCUGGGACGGUACUGACGCUGAGACGCGAAAGCGUGGGGAGCAAACAGG
RNAcentral lists this ribosomal RNA (253 nucleotides) under uncultured bacterium. RNAcentral describes it as "partial 16S ribosomal RNA". It matches the Rfam family "Bacterial small subunit ribosomal RNA", at positions 524 to 776 of the family's 1533-position model. The record is from RNAcentral.